RNAcentral lists this ribosomal RNA (478 nucleotides) under uncultured bacterium. Its description in RNAcentral is "partial 16S ribosomal RNA". It matches the Rfam family "Bacterial small subunit ribosomal RNA", at positions 28 to 523 of the family's 1533-position model. The record is from RNAcentral.
GACGAACGCUGGCGGCGCGCUUAAUACAUGCAAGUCGAACGUGAAGCCCGGGCUUGCCCGGGUGGAAAGUGGCGAACGGGUGAGUAACACGUGAGAAACCUGCCUCGGAGACCGGGAUAACCAAUGGAAACGUUGGCUAAUACCGGAUGCCUUCACCGGACCGCAUGGUCUGGUGAAGAAAUGGAUUCCGCUCCGAGAUGGUCUCGCGGCCUAUCAGCUUGUUGGUGGGGUAACGGCUCACCAAGGCUUUGACGGGUAGUUGGUCUGAGAGGACGACCAACCACACUGGGACUGAGAGACGGCCCAGACUCCUACGGGAGGCAGCAGUAGGGAAUCUUGCUCAAUGGGCGAAAGCCUGAAGCAGCGACGCCGCGUGCGGGACGAAGGCCCUCGGGUCGUAAACCGCUUUCAGCAGGAACGAAAUUGACGGUACCUGCAGAAGAAGCACCGGCCAACUACGUGCCAGCCGCCGCCGUAA